CUCGAGCCCAUCGAAAGCAGGUGGCAAUGCCCAGCUUGUGCACGAGCCCUCAUCUGAGCAGAAAAAACAGAUUUUUUUCUGGCAGGUGGUCCAAGACUGACCUCAGCAGGUGCCUCGUUGUGUUUGAAGAGACAGCAGCAGAAAGCCGUGCAUGAAGAAGGGCUGGACAACCCCUGGGACAAGCAGGAAGGAAGGACAGAGAGGUUUUGGGGAGAGAUGCCUUGUGAUUGCCAGCACAAAGGGGAUAAUGAGAAGAUUAGAUCCAUAAUGUUAUUGCUGCCUGGGUGACACAUGGCCUGUGGAGCCUUCCUCACUGCAGCUGGGAUUUCGUGGGGCCCCGACGAGGCUGGGCUAGGAGGGCACGUUGUUGGCUAAGGUGCAGAUGAAAUGAGGCAGAAGAAGGCGUUAGUAGCACCCUGGGAAGAUUCCUGUUUGACCUUCCUGUCUCUUCUUGGAGGUUCACCCUCCGGCUUAGAGGAGAGGGCUGGUUCCCUCCGGCUUUUUCCCGAGCCGUGUUACGGAGGGCCAGGCUACCUGUGCACACCCCCUUCAGGAGGUCUCUGGGUGAGGCCUACGCUGCCCAAAAUUUCAGCCCCCAGCAGAUCCAGUCGUGACAGAAGAUGUGGUGGGGCCCCAAUGCUGCCAGCAGAAAUAGGCUUUGGUCCUCUCAGCAAGUAUCAGCUGGAGAGAGAGCAUAAAAAUGGCCUACCUGGAUCAUCCGUCCUCAUACCUUGCCUCUGCCAGGCAAGACCUCCUCAUCCUCCUGAACCUGGCCAAACUGACUGCACAGGGCUCGCCCGAGGAUGUCCCACCUUCUCCGUGUCGUCGUCCUUGCAUCCACACACUGCAAUCUUCACGGGGACCAGAGGCUGGAGGUGGUACUGAGUGCACCCAGGACACUCAGACCUGGGCAGGUUCAUCGCCAGGAGCUUCCCUGGAGCAACGGGACUGGGACGAUGUGGGAGCCGGUGCAUGGGACGGCUGGCGAUGCGCAUUUCCGCUUGGGUCUGUCUGGCUUGCAUUUCCCCAGCCACCCUGCAUGGCUCAUGCUGAGAGUCCACUGUUUGCAAGCUGCGGGGACACAAACAGCACAGGUGGACUCGGUGCAUGCAAAAAAAACUCUCUGUCACCUUGGGAAGUGGGUGCCAGGGCAAGAUUGGGUCCCCUGGCCUUGCUGGGGGCUGGAUGGUUUUACUUCUUCGUAAAGACGCCCUCUCCUAGAUUUGCUUCUUAGCAGAGAAGGAACAAGCUGCUCUGUUCCUGUCACCUCUCUGUCUUUGCAUGCUGAGCGCUGGCCGAACGAGCGGAGCAGAUCUCCCUCCUGGAUAGUCAGCAAAACCUCACGGCUUUCUUACUUUGCAGUUGCGCGGGUGAUCAGCCGUGGUGUGGGCUCUCGAGGCGGGUGGCUCAGGCAGAAAAGGGGAAUUCGGGCAAUCUGAGAUUGCAUCUGCACUGGGAAAUAAAUCGGGCUGAUAUAUCA
This 1480-nucleotide long non-coding RNA is filed under the name Struthio camelus australis. RNAcentral describes it as "lncRNA (ENSSCUG00000017556.1)". Lineage: Eukaryota; Metazoa; Chordata; Aves; Struthioniformes; Struthionidae. The record is from RNAcentral.